RNA transcript from Cucurbita moschata (crookneck pumpkin), 1586 nucleotides. It is a transcript of the gene named UDP-D-apiose/UDP-D-xylose synthase 2-like, with no coding region annotated. Lineage: Eukaryota; Viridiplantae; Streptophyta; Magnoliopsida; Cucurbitales; Cucurbitaceae. The transcript is spliced from 10 exons. The record is from RefSeq and is a predicted model, not a curated record.
UACUCUUUCAAUCUCAAUAAAUACGCUCAGCCUCUCAUUUCUCCCUCACAACCCAUUUCUUCAAGCUUUCUUCCUCUUUCCCGCAAGAUUUCUUACAACACAGCGGGAUUUUCAGUCUAGAUCUGCAGAGUAACAUAGCAACAAUGGCGUCCGAGAAGAGGGUAGAUCUGGAUGGCAACCCCAUUAAGCCAAUCACCAUUUGCAUGAUUGGCGCUGGUGGCUUCAUUGGCUCUCACCUCUGUGAGAAGCUUAUGGCUGAAACCCCUCACAAGGUGCUUGCUCUUGAUGUUUAUAAUGACAAGAUUAAGCAUCUUCUUGAGCCCGAUUCGCUCCCCUGGGCCGAUCGUAUUCAGUUCCACCGUCUCAAUAUCAAGAACGAUUCCAGGCUCGAGAGCCUCAUUCGAAUGGCGGAUCUGACGAUAAAUCUUGCUGCGAUCUGUACGCCUGCGGACUACAAUACGCGACCCCUUGACACAAUCUACAGCAAUUUCAUUGACGCAAUUCCUGUGGUUAAAUACUGUUCUGGCAACAACAAGCGUCUCAUUCACUUUUCAACUUGCGAAGUGUACGGUAAGACGAUUGGAAGCUUUCUUCCAAAAGAUAGCCCUCUUCGUCAGGAUCCAGCAUAUUAUGUUUUGAGUGAGAAUUCAUCUCCUUGCAUCUUUGGUCCCAUUGAGAAGCAAAGAUGGUCCUAUGCGUGUGCGAAGCAAUUGAUCGAGAGGCUGAUUUAUGCUGAGGGUGCGGAAAAUGGGAUGGAUUUUACAAUUGUAAGACCCUUUAACUGGAUUGGUCCUAGGAUGGACUUCAUUCCUGGCAUUGAUGGCCCAAGUGAGGGUGUUCCGAGAGUUUUAGCUUGCUUUAGCAAUAAUCUCCUACGCCACGAGCCACUGAAGCUCGUGGAUGGUGGCCAAUCCCAAAGAACUUUUAUAUACAUCAAAGAUGCGAUUGAAGCAGUUCUUUUGAUGAUUGAAAACCCAGCUAGGGCCAAUGGCCAAAUCUUCAAUGUGGGCAAUCCCAACAAUGAAGUAACAGUGAAGCAGCUUGCCGAAAUGAUGACCGAGGUUUAUGCAAAGGUAAGCGGGGAACCUUCUCUCGAGAAACCGACAAUCGAUAUAAGCUCUGAAGAAUUCUACGGCGUGGGUUAUGACGACAGUGACAAGAGAAUUCCUGAUAUGACCAUCAUCAAUAAGCAACUUGGUUGGAACCCAAAGACCUCACUGUGGGAUCUGCUGGAAUCAACUCUGACCUAUCAACAUCGAACAUAUGCUGAGGCGAUCAAGCAGGCGACAGCAAAACCAGCUGCAACCAGCUAGAGAAUGUGAUGCUCUUUUCUUUUUGGUCAUUUUUUUUGGUUUUGUUUUUGUUUUCAGGGCUCUUACAGGAGGAGUUUUAUUUGUAAUAUGUGGCUGUGUCCAAGCUUUUCCAAUUCUUUUUUUUUUUUUUCUUGAUUCUGAAAUGUGUUAGUUUGGUUAUGGAUAGGGAUAUGUGGAGGACUCGAUAUUAUAUGUAUAAUCAUCGAAUUUCAAGCUUGGACUACAAGUUGAGGGAGGAUAAUACAAAAUAAUCUACUACUUUUCUGUCUUUGC